AACGAACGCUGGCGGCGUGCUUAACACAUGCAAGUCGAACGUGAAAGGCUUCGGCCGAGUAAAGUGGCGCACGGGUGAGUAACGCGUGGGUAAUCUGCCCUUGGGCGGGGGAUAAUCUCUCGAAAGGGGGGCUAAUACCGCAUGAGACCACGGCUUCUCGGGGCUGUGGGAAAAGGUGGGUCGCAAGGCCUGCCACCUGAGGAUGAGCCCGCGUACCAUUAGGUUGUUGGUGGGGGUAAUGGCCUACCAAGCCGAAGAUGGUUAGCUGGUCUGAGAGGACGAUCAGCCACACUGGGACUGAGACACGGCCCAGACUCCUACGGGAGGCAGCAGUGGGGAAUAUUGCGCAAUGGGGGAAACCCUGACGCAGCAACGCCGCGUGUGUGAAGAAGGCCUUGGUCGUAAGACGCUGUUGGGAGGAACGGAGCCGCGUCGUGGGGAAGUAUCUGCGAGCCCGACGGUACCUCC
This 468-nucleotide ribosomal RNA is filed under the name uncultured bacterium. RNAcentral describes it as "bacterial SSU rRNA". It matches the Rfam family "Bacterial small subunit ribosomal RNA", at positions 28 to 482 of the family's 1533-position model. The record is from RNAcentral.